AGCAGCCGCGGUAAUUCCAGCUCCAAUAGCGUAUAUUAAAGUUGUUGCAGUUAAAAAAGCUCGUAGUUGAAUUUCGGGAUUAGUACGUUGGCCGUGCCUUAGGUACGUACUGGUGUUACUGGUUCCUACCUUCUGACGAACCAUCAUGUCAUUAAUUUGGUGUGGCGGGGAAUCAGGACUGUUACUUUGAAAAAAUUAGAGUGUUUAAAGCAGGCUCGCGCUUGAAUACAUUAGCAUGGAAUAAUGAAAUAGGACGUUGACCCUAUUUUGUUGGUUUCUAGGAUUGACGUAAUGAUUAAUAGGGAUAGUUGGGGGCAUUAGUAUUCAAUUGUCAGAGGUGAAAUUCUUGGAUUUAUUGAGGACUAACUACUGCGAAAGCAUUUGCCAAGGAUGUUUUCAUUAAUCAAGAGCGAAAGUUAGGGGAUCGAAGACGAUCAGAUACCGUCGUAGUUUUAACCAUAAACUAUGCCGACUAGGGAUCGGAUGAUGUUAUUUUUAAUGUACUCAUUCGGCGCCUUAC
Molecule: ribosomal RNA, 520 nt
Filed under: uncultured Glomus
Lineage: Eukaryota; Fungi; Glomeromycota; Glomeromycetes; Glomerales; Glomeraceae
Description: SSU rRNA
Rfam family: Eukaryotic small subunit ribosomal RNA
Source: RNAcentral